GACGAACGCUGGCGGCGUGCUUAACACAUGCAAGUCGAACGGAAAGGCCCUGCUUGCAGGGUGCUCGAGUGGCGAACGGGUGAGUAACACGUGGGUGAUCUGCCCCUUACUUUGGGAUAAGCCUGGGAAACUGGGUCUAAUACUGGAUAGGACCAUGCUGUAGGUGGUGUGGUGGAAAGAUUAGUUUCGGUAAGGGAUGAGCUCGCGGCCUAUCAGCUUGUUGGUGGGGUAAUGGCCUACCAAGGCGUCGACGGGUAGCCGGCCUGAGAGGGUGGACGGCCCCAUUGGGACUGCGACACGGCCCAGACUCCUACGGGAGGCAGCAGUGGGGCAUAUUGCACAAUGGGCGCAAGCCUGAUGCAGCGACGCCGCGUGGGGGGUGACGGCCUUCGGGUUGUAAACUCCUUUCAGCCAUGACGAAGCCCUUGUGGUGACGGUAGUGGUAGAAGAAGCACCGGCUAACUACGUG
RNAcentral lists this ribosomal RNA (469 nucleotides) under uncultured bacterium. RNAcentral's name for it is "partial 16S ribosomal RNA". It matches the Rfam family "Bacterial small subunit ribosomal RNA", at positions 28 to 507 of the family's 1533-position model. The record is from RNAcentral.